AGGGAAUAUUGGUUAAUGGGCGAAAGCCUGACCCAGCAACGCCGCGUGCGCGAUGAAGGCCUUCGGGUUGUAAAGCGCUUUUAAGUGGGAUGAGGAAGGACAGUACCACUAGAAUAAGUCUCGGCUAACUACGUGCCAGCAGCCGCGGUAACACGUAGGAGACGAGCGUUAUCCGGAUUUACUGGGUGUAAAGCGCGUGCAGGCGGUAUGGAAAGUUGGAUGUGAAAGCUCCCGGCUUAACUGGGAGAGGUCGUUCAAAACUACCAAACUAGAGUACAGCAGAGGGGAGUGGAAUUCCGAGUGUAGCGGUAAAAUGCAUAGAUAUUCGGAAGAACACCAGUGGCGAAGGCGGCUCCCUGGGCUGAAACUGACGCUCAGACGCGAAAGCUAGGGUAGCGAACG
Molecule: ribosomal RNA, 402 nt
Filed under: uncultured bacterium
Lineage: Bacteria
Description: bacterial SSU rRNA
Rfam family: Bacterial small subunit ribosomal RNA
Source: RNAcentral